This 253-nucleotide ribosomal RNA is filed under the name uncultured bacterium. RNAcentral describes it as "partial 16S ribosomal RNA". It matches the Rfam family "Bacterial small subunit ribosomal RNA", at positions 524 to 776 of the family's 1533-position model. The record is from RNAcentral.
UACGUAGGGGGCAAGCGUUGUCCGGAUUUAUUGGGCGUAAAGAGCGUGUAGGCGGCCAGACAGGUCCGUUGUGAAAACUCGAGGCUCAACCUCGAGAUGUCGAUGGAAACCGUCUGGCUAGAGUCCGGAAGAGGAGUGUGGAAUUCCUGGUGUAGCGGUGAAAUGCGCAGAUAUCAGGAGGAACACCGAUGGCGAAGGCAGGUCUCUGGGCCACUACUGACGCUGAGAAGCGAAAGCAUGGGGAGCGAACAGG